GGGAUCUUCUGCCCCGGGUGCGUCGCAGCCCCGGACCAAGGCGCCCGCCGGAGGAAUCAACCAAAACUCUUAUUGUAUACCCCCUCGCGGGUUUUUUUUAUAAUCUGAGCCUUCUCGGCGCCUCUCGUAGGCGUUUCGAAAAUGAAUCAAAACUUUCAACAACGGAUCUCUUGGUUCUGGCAUCGAUGAAGAACGCAGCGAAAUGCGAUAAGUAAUGUGAAUUGCAGAAUUCAGUGAAUCAUCGAAUCUUUGAACGCACAUUGCGCCCGCCAGUAUUCUGGCGGGCAUGCCUGUCCGAGCGUCAUUUCAACCCUCGAACCCCUCCGGGGGGUCGGCGUUGGGGAUCGGCCUUCCUUCACGGGGGCCGUCUCCGAAAUACAGUGGCGGUCUCGCCGCAGCCUCUCCUGCGCAGUAGUUUGCACACUCGCAUCGGGAGCGCGGCGCGUCCACAGCCGUUAAACACCCAACUUUCUGAAAUGUUGACCUCGGAUCAGGUAGGAAUACCCGCUGAACUUAGCAUAUAAUA
Molecule: ribosomal RNA, 526 nt
Filed under: cf. Trichoderma sp. 16/
Lineage: Eukaryota; Fungi; Ascomycota; Sordariomycetes; Hypocreales; Hypocreaceae
Description: eukaryotic LSU rRNA
Rfam family: 5.8S ribosomal RNA (bases 151-304)
Source: RNAcentral